UGGAGAUUCUGGACAAGCUGUAUACAGGAUAAUCUCCCAUCCACCUCUCCCCCUUCUCUGAACAUUAUACACAGACGUGGCCAGUCUGGACGUACGUGUGUGAGUUAAAAGAAGCCAAGAAGGGGAGAAGGAAAAAGAACAGAACAAGUUAUCAAAAAAGACACUGGCCCCAUUCAAGGACACUGCUCACAGCUAAGACUUGGCUGACAACCAAGAAAAGGGGGGGCUUGAAUGUGCCCGAGCAGCUGUAAAAUCUGCAAAACACUGCCAGGCAUUAAUGAAAUGUGUUAGGUUUCUUUUCUCACAAGUAAAGAAGCGCUACCCAAAAACUCUAGCAGCCCUGCCACUCCUUAGAACCAGGAGAUUGGAUCUAUGUAAAGGUCCAUCAGUGAAAGAUUGCUUUGGCUCCAUGCUGGAAAGGCCCUUACCAAGUCCAGCUGACUACCAACGCUGCUGUGAAGUGCCAAGGACUGACUGCCUGGACCCAUGCUUCUCACUGCAAAAAGGCCUCUCUGCCCCGAGAUAAUUCCACUCGUACUAUUGAUCAGCCCGUCUUGCCUUCUCGUAUUUCUUUUCCUCCUUCUGAACAACAGGAGAAAAGGACAAGGUUAUGUGCUGGUAAUCUCUCCCUUGUUCACUGACAGAGUUAACCUGCAUUCAGUAUUUGCUAUAGAAACCAAAGCACUACAGGGUGAUGUGCUGGUAACCUCUCCCCUGUAUGAUGCUGAGCCACGAUUGCUUCAGGAAAGAAGAAGGAACACUCGCUCCACUGAAAUUGCGAAAGUUCAGGAAUUCCUGACUACAAAAGACAUUAAGAACUGAUCCUGGUGAAGAAACAAAGAAUUAUACACUGGCAG
Chelonoidis abingdonii (Abingdon island giant tortoise) is the source of this 857-nucleotide non-coding RNA. The record is from RefSeq and is a predicted model, not a curated record. NCBI's taxonomy places the organism in Eukaryota, Metazoa, Chordata, Testudines, Testudinidae.